RNAcentral lists this ribosomal RNA (493 nucleotides) under uncultured bacterium. Its description in RNAcentral is "bacterial SSU rRNA". It matches the Rfam family "Bacterial small subunit ribosomal RNA", at positions 30 to 517 of the family's 1533-position model. The record is from RNAcentral.
AUUGAACGCUGGCGGCAUGCCUUACACAUGCAAGUCGAACGGCAGCACGGGAGCAAUCCUGGUGGCGAGUGGCGAACGGGUGAGUAAUAUAUCGGAACGUGCCCAGUCGUGGGGGAUAACUACUCGAAAGAGUGGCUAAUACCGCAUACGAUCUACGGAUGAAAGCGGGGGACCUUCGGGCCUCGCGCGAUUGGAGCGGCCGAUAUCAGAUUAGGUAGUUGGUAGGGUAAAAGCCUACCAAGCCUGCGAUCUGUAGCUGGUCUGAGAGGACGACCAGCCACACUGGAACUGAGACACGGUCCAGACUCCUACGGGAGGCAGCAGUGGGGAAUUUUGGACAAUGGGCGAAAGCCUGAUCCAGCAAUGCCGCGUGCAGGACGAAGGCCUUCGGGUUGUAAACUGCUUUUGUACGGAACGAAAGGUAGCUCCUAAUACUAGGGGCUCAUGACGGUACUGUAAGAAUAAGCACCGGCUAACUACGUGCCAGCAGCCG